Non-coding RNA from Chrysemys picta bellii (western painted turtle), 3434 nucleotides. Lineage: Eukaryota; Metazoa; Chordata; Testudines; Emydidae. The record is from RefSeq and is a predicted model, not a curated record.
ACGAAAGGACUGGGAAGAGCAGGAUAUUGUAUUGCUAGAUGGUCUGCAAGACUACUUUCUUUCAAUUAUGAACUGGAAUAUAAGCCCAGUGCUGGGGUCUGGACUAGAUGACCUCUCAGGAUCCCUUCUAGACCUAUAUUGCUAUGAUUCUCACCCUUUGCUCAUAUAGGGACCAUGGCCAGAAAUCCCAGCCAAGUGGACAAUGCUGGAGCCCACUGCUGUCCAUGCUGGGACCAUCUUGCUCCCUCCCUGUUUGACUGUGAGGCCACAGGGAGAUCUGGCCCAUCCCACCAGCAUCAAUGGCACUCACACAGCAGGGGCUGCUGGAUGGUGACCCCAGCCACAGAGACAGAGCUGCACUGCAGGGUCGUGGCCAGCAUGGUCCCUCCCACCUGCUUCUUACUGCCACCUGGGAUCUCUUCCUCUACCACACUGCUGGAGCCCAGUCCCACCAACCUGCAAGUCCUAGCCCUGGGGCUGGGGUGAGACUGAUCUGUGGGCUUAAGAGACACACAAUACAUACCCCUCUGCAGCUCCAGGGGAAGCUCUCACCCAGUCAAGACGCAUUGCUGUCUAGUAGAGCAGAGAAGGAGAGGACUCCUGGGUCCUAUUCAUGGCCCUGACACUGCUUCCAUGUGUGUCCCUACAUGAAUGGCUUUGAUCCCUCUGUGCCUCAGUUCCCUGUCUGUUACACAGGGUGAUGAGCAUGGGGGCAGGACUUUGGGCACCAAUAUGUGAGGCUCUCUGAGAUGCCAGAGCCAAGUGCUUCCCCCCGGAGAGCCCUGUAUUGCCCCACAUCAUCAUGGAUUGAACAUCAUAACUAGCCUCCAGGUGGCUGGGGCUGACCAAGGGUCUUUCAGACGGGGAACUCCCUGCACGCCCCAUCUGCUGGCUCUCUCCACACCACAGCCAAGGUCUGAUCCAGCUGCCUUGAUGUUAGAUCCCCACAAUGGCCAUUGGGGUCUGCUCGCCAGGCUGGGGGUUAAAGAACAGGGAACAUCAGGUCCUGCCGGGAGCAGGAUAUUGCUCAGCGCCACAGCCAGCCAGGUCUCCUCCCCACCUGCCAUUCUCAAGUCAGGCCCUGAUGGGGGACCCACACGCCACCGGGCAGUCAGGAUGACGCCCUUCUGGAGGAUGGUGGGCAGCAAACCACUGGGAGCCUACUGCCGGCACGGCCUGGAGUGCAGCACCAAGAUGUGCAGGAACGGGCACUGUGCUCCCCCACAGUACGAAUGCUGAAAGCUGGAAGCUGAUGCAAUCCCGGCUGGAGACAAUGCUCCCCAUCUACCCCCAGGCUCAGAGCAUCUGCAGACUGGAGGCCAUCAAUACUUGCCCCUGGGGUGGGACUGUGAGACACAUGAUCCAGAGCCCUGCAAUCACCACUUGGGGGCGAGGGCUCCAGCCUCCCCACACAGGUGGGAGUGUGUCCCAGUCUCCUCACAUGCACCCUCGGUGAAGGGGAAAGUAUUCAUAGUUCCAGCGGGGGCCAAUUCCAAGUCUGACCCAGCACCCCACCCCCACCCCCCAGCAGCAGCCAUCUGGGGGGCUCCCAUAGUGAAGCCUGCACAGACCCAAGCUGCUCGCAGGGACUGUUGUUGCUCCUGAUAUUGAAUGGGGGCUGAGAGUGCAAGGAUUACCCCAACAGGAGCUGGGAGACCAGACCCUUCCUGGCCCCAGCGUUGCUCUGUGCAAGGAAAAUUGGGACUCUUAAAGGAGCCACAUGCGCAAGCAGUUGCCACUCUAUAGGGGCUGAGAUCCCUCCUCAGAGCCAGCCCAACGGAAAUGCCCCUCUGGCCCUACCCAGCAGAGAGAUCCUUUUUGUGCCUUCAUGCCAAGCCAAGAAAGCAUCCCACCUUGGGGUCCCUCUCCUUCCCCAGGGGCUGGGCAGACUCCCAGCCUGCCCCUGGGGACAGGCUCUAGGUGCAGGCUGGAAGUCUACUGGGGGGAUAUCUUCCUGAGGUGGGGGUUCCCACACUCCCCCAUUGCAAGGUGAUGGGCAGCACCCAAACUGCCGCUGCAGGGACCCCAGGGUGGCACCUGGGGUAAACAUGGACUUCUUACUGGAGAGCCCUGAAUCCCCCAAGGCUCCUGGUUGGCUGUGUCACCUGCAGUGUGCUGGGUGCCCCAAGACUGCACCUCACAGACUGUUUGAACCUACGUUGCUUGCUCAAACAAUAAAUGCCUCUGGCCUGAAAGUUUGUGACUUCCUGACUCUUUCUGAAGGGAGCAGAAAGCAUUCACUCCCUGGUUUCCCCAGCAAUCCAACCCUGCAGCUGAUCAGCUCUGGGCACCCCAGGCAGCUGUGCCUAGGAGCUGGGAUGUGUUAGUCGCCAUCAGGGCUGGGCAAAUACCCAUGUCCCCCAGUAGUCCCUUGGCUGCAAGCUGAGCUCCUUUGGCCUGUGUUCCCAGGGAACAUGUGUUAGUAGGACCAUUCUAACGCACAUGUUUGUUGGCAGGGUGCGUGGGAACGGCAAUGUGGAGAAUAUCAGCAGUCGGCAGAAGGCCAGUGCACGACCGCUUGGUUUUCACAAGCUCCCCCACAGCCAGUUAGGGACCCGGCCUCUGUGCUGUCUGAAGUGCAAACACUGUGGGUUGGCAGGCCCAGGCCAUACCACUUUGAAGAGAUAACUGAGCCAAUAGCACCAGGUCCACUGAUGUGGCUUAGAUGAAAAGCCAAAGAAACAUGUCCCAGGCCAACAGAGAAGCACCUGUGUUUUCUCUUUGCCAGCACAUGGGCCUAGCUCCUUCCUGCACAUGCAGGCUGGCUCUGUGCCAAGUGAGACAGGGAUAGUUUCCUGCAUGCAAGGCCUGAUCCCGAGCAGUGCUGAACUCACCCCACGUGGCCUAAGUGUGCUCAGCAACAGUUCUUUGCCCAGUUCUAAAGGCACCGUGUCAACUUGGCCUGCUGCACUGCUCCAGGGACCAGGGCCAGCCUGGAAGAGGUGGAGUUGUGGCGCUUAGGGCAGCAGUAGUGUGCAAAGCAUUGUGCACUGUAAGGUAUAGCCACAUGCUGGAGAUGUGCCUGCCCAGCCCUGGGGAGAGGCUGAUCUCAGGGGGUGCUGUUACUAUAAGUGAUGCUGCUAUACAGCUGCCUUCCUCCUUGAUCCUCUAACAUGCUUUGCAUGGCUUUCCAUUGCAGAGAUCCUGCCCCACAUGGGACUGGGGCUCCUGCUUUGGGUCUCAAUACAUGCCCCAGGUUCCAACACCUCCCACAAGCCCACAGCAAAAUUCAGAUACAGGGGCCUGGUGGGGGGUGACCCUCCCCCCCCCAUUCAGUACGGAUGGCCUCCAGCCCAGAACAGAUGCUGCCAUAAGUUUGCUUCCCAUCACUUGGCAGUAGGGUGUCAAGGCAUCCGGUUUGCUGACUGGGCCGUUAAAAGUCCUGUCGGCGGCACAGCAGGGGCCCGGGGCUAAGGCAGGCUCCCUGCUAGCCC